UACGGGGGGGGCAAGCGUUGUUCGGAAUUACUGGGCGUAAAGGGCUCGUAGGUGGCCAACUAAGUCAUACGUGAAAUCCCUCAGCUUAACUGGGGAACUGAGCCUGAUACUGGUUGGCUUGAGUUUGGGAGAGGGACGCGGAAUUCCAGGUGUAGCGGUGAAAUGCGCAGAUAUCAGGAAGAACACCAAUGGCGAAAGCAGCUUUCUGGGACGGUACUGACGCUGAGACGCGAAAGCGUGGGGAGCGAACAGG
Molecule: ribosomal RNA, 253 nt
Filed under: uncultured bacterium
Lineage: Bacteria
Description: partial 16S ribosomal RNA
Rfam family: Bacterial small subunit ribosomal RNA
Source: RNAcentral